AUACGUAGGUGGCAAGCGUUGUCCGGAUUUACUGGGCGUAAAGGGCGCGUAGGCGGGCUGGCAAGUCAGAUGUGAAAUCUCCGGGCUCAACCCGGAAACUGCAUUUGAAACUGUCGUUCUUGAGUAUCGGAGAGGCAAGCGGAAUUCCUAGUGUAGCGGUGAAAUGCGUAGAUAUUAGGAGGAACAUCAGUGGCGAAGGCGGCUUACUGGUCUUUUACUGACUCUGAGGCUCGAAAGCGUGGGGAGCAAACAGGAUUAGAUACCCGGGUAGUCCACGCCGUAAACGAUGAAUACUAGGUGUAGGGGGUAUCGACGCCCUCUGUGCCGCAGUUAACACAAUAAGUAUUCCGCCUGGGGAGUACGGCCGCAAGGUUGAAACUCAAAGGAAUUGACGGGG
RNAcentral lists this ribosomal RNA (397 nucleotides) under uncultured bacterium. Its description in RNAcentral is "partial 16S ribosomal RNA". It matches the Rfam family "Bacterial small subunit ribosomal RNA", at positions 523 to 918 of the family's 1533-position model. The record is from RNAcentral.